Perca fluviatilis (European perch) is the source of this 859-nucleotide long non-coding RNA. RefSeq lists it as uncharacterized. The record is from RefSeq and is a predicted model, not a curated record. The transcript has 2 exons. NCBI's taxonomy places the organism in Eukaryota, Metazoa, Chordata, Actinopteri, Perciformes, Percidae.
UGUGUGUGUGUGUGUGUGUGUUUCUUCAAGCCCAUGUGUGUUUGUUUAUGCAAACCUGUCAUCAUCAUCAUUGUGCAGGUGUGUUUAUGCUGCCACUGUCUCUCAGGCCUCACUGUCACAGUCAUAACAGUAUCUCAUGAUAUGACAACGUUAGGUGUCAGUCAAAAAGUCAGUUAGUAUGCUGGGUGUGAUGGUGUGGAUGAACACCUGAUAUAUCGGAGGAAUGUGACAGAUGGAUGCUACUCUGAUGUGAACUUCAUGUUUAUUUUGUGUCUGUUGCAGGAUUACCCUGCAAAGCCAGCUGACACAUUUUUAGUUUGCUUACUCUUUUCUGGCAAGGCUUAGUGGACAUUUGCUUGGGACAGGCAUCAUUUCAGAUAGCCCGCACAAUAGAUGAUUUACGAGUGUAACGUUGAAUGUCCAGUCCAACAUGCCAGCUGUUCUUAAACGUUGUUAAUUUUCUUCCAAGCUAUCCCUAGAUGUUGGUUUCUGACUCAGUUUAUGUGAGAAAAUUAAAUGGCAGUUCAAGGUUUUGAGUUUUGAGUCAUGACGGAACUCUUGUAGCGAAAACUGAGCUUGCAAGAUUUAAGCUGGCUUCUUCGACUCCAGGAUUACACCCUCCUCUGGGCUCAGAAGAAUCUCUUAGACUUAUUACACCCCUCUAAAACCCUGGUGAAUAAACUUAAAACUGCAUCACCAUCAAGCUAAAACCAUGGCUGUUUAUCUGCAGAAACUGAUAAGUUAACUACAACUUUGAUGUGUUGUCUCUGGUGUGUGGUGCUGAAUUAGUCCGAGCAAAAUGAUAUUUGAAAAUUCUUGUUAUAUUUGUUGACUGCAAAUAAAGAAGCCUUAAUUUCUG